GGAGGAACAACGCCAGACGUUUGCUGCUGGCAGCGAGAGAAAAUCUAUUCAUCUGAGGCCACUGAAGGUCCUUGUUGUAGGUGCUUGGGAGUCCUUUGAGAACCAUGAGAAUAGCAGCCAGCUGCAGAGAGAAACAGCAGGCUCACCCGUCCGAACACGCGGCCAGCUUUGCUGCGGAUCAGUUCCAGGCUAUCGGGGUUCUUCUUCUGAGGCAUCAGGCUGCUGCCAGUGCUGAAAGAAAAGUGUGUGCAGGGUAACGAAGACCCUGCUGCUGCCCUGGUUGGCGUCAGUCAAAGAGCAAGCCUAGAAGUCUCCUGCCCGUGCAAGACCAAGGCUGGGGGAUGUGGAAAAGGACUUACAUGGCAGCGCGUUCCACCAGGGUCUUAAUGAGCUGCAGGAGUGUGCAGCUUUCCAGCUAUGUCUCCAAUCAGCUCCUGAGGACAAGAGGAGGAUUUCAAUCAGUGUCUCUGUAUCUAAAGAGGAAACUCCGCCUGAGCAGACCUCCUCCCUGCCUGGAAGGGACUCGGCUCUAGGAUCCUGAAAACAAACCAAGUAGUGAGAAGCACCCAAAGGAGCCUGGCAGGUUGCGGAGCUGGGGUUACCAUGCAGUUGAGUUCGCAUCUACUGGAGCACCCCGAGACCACCCCACCAGAGAAGCAAAGUUCGCCCUCACCUCGGCUGCCAUUUCGGACGACGUUUUGCUCGUUUGUGCAGCGAUCCUGGCAACUGGUGCAACCUGUGGAACAGUGAGGUGAGGUCAGGCUUUGCCUCCGGUCCUGGUGUCGGUGCCAGUCCCGGUCCUGCUCCCCGGUCCCGCUCCUGGUGCGGAACGAGUCCCACGUCCCCGGCGCCCACCCGGUCCCGCUCACCUGCUCGGCUGUGCAG
Long non-coding RNA from Chroicocephalus ridibundus (black-headed gull), 885 nucleotides. RefSeq lists it as uncharacterized. Lineage: Eukaryota; Metazoa; Chordata; Aves; Charadriiformes; Laridae. The transcript has 6 exons. The record is from RefSeq and is a predicted model, not a curated record.